AUGGAAGCAGACAACCUUCUUCGCCGCGGCUGGCCUGCUAAUGCAUCCUGCCCCCUCUGUCUGUCGGAACCCGAGACCUGUACGCACUUGUUUGUGCAUUGCCGAUACACGCAGCAGCUUUGGGGUUUGCUCAAGCGCAGGUUUGGGGCUCACUUCAUCACGCCAGAGGACAGUUUUAGCGGCAUAGAGGAGUGGUGGCUCCAGGCCAGAGCCGGCGUUCCUAAACCGAUGCGUCGCAACUUCGACACUUUUACUAUUCUCAUGCACUGGAGGCUGUGGAAGGAGAAGAACUCCAGGAUUUUUGACCAGAUGGCAAGCAGCGCCGACAGGGUGCUGGAUUUGGUCUAUGAAGAUAUUGCGGUUUGACGUGCGGCCGGUUGUAUUGUUGAGCUCGGAGCCUAA
RNAcentral lists this ribosomal RNA (402 nucleotides) under Triticum aestivum (bread wheat). Its description in RNAcentral is "partial small subunit ribosomal RNA". The record is from RNAcentral. Lineage: Eukaryota; Viridiplantae; Streptophyta; Magnoliopsida; Poales; Poaceae.